GGUAAAAUGACUGAGAUUUAGGUGAUAGUUUGUAAAACUAUUAAGAGGAGAUAUAAAAUUCCUUUUUACCA
This 71-nucleotide transfer RNA is filed under the name Yersinia mexicana. RNAcentral's name for it is "tRNA-Tyr". The record is from RNAcentral. Lineage: Eukaryota; Metazoa; Arthropoda; Insecta; Mantodea; Amelidae.